GUGGGGAAUAUUGGACAAUGGGCGCAAGCCUGAUCCAGCAAUGCCGCGUGGGUGAAGAAGGUCUUCGGAUCGUAAAGCCCUUUCGACAGGGACGAUGAUGACGGUACCUGUAGAAGAAGCCCCGGCUAACUUCGUGCCAGCAGCCGCGGUAAUACGAAGGGGGCUAGCGUUACUCGGAAUUACUGGGCGUAAAGGGCGCGUAGGCGGCUCUGUUAGUCAGGCGUGAAAUUCCUGGGCUUAACCUGGGGACUGUGCUUGAUACUGCAGGGCUUGAGGCCGAGAGAGGGUGGUGGAAUUCCCAGUGUAGAGGUGAAAUUCGGAGAUAUUGGGAAGAACACCGGUGGCGAAGGCGACCACCUGGCUCGGUUCUGACGCUGAGGCGCGACAGCGUGGGGAGCAAACAGGAUUAGAAACCCCAGUAGUCC
RNAcentral lists this ribosomal RNA (425 nucleotides) under uncultured bacterium. RNAcentral's name for it is "partial 16S ribosomal RNA". It matches the Rfam family "Bacterial small subunit ribosomal RNA", at positions 354 to 796 of the family's 1533-position model. The record is from RNAcentral.